GCAUGCCAUUGCUACGAAUUUCGAAAGUUCCAAGAUACGAUUCGGAUUGCAGCAUACCAUGUCUACUAUUCUACCGUUCGUUGCGUUGUUCGGGAUUUUCAGAAUCUCUGGAGGUUGAAGCUCUCACACGAUUUUGUUGUAGGCGAGAUUCUCGUUGUUCCAGGGUUUCAGCGUCUCUGGAGGUUGAAGCUCUCACACGAUUUUGCUGGAGGCGAGAUUCCCGCUGGUUUUCCGUUUCCACAUUUCUCGAGCUUGUCUCUCUGUUUCGAUUUUGUUGAAGUCGGACAUUUCGUUGAUCUUCCGUUUCCGCCGCUCUGUAUUCAUUCGACUUUUUUGUUUUGGGUUUUUUUCUUCCAAUUGAUGCUUUCUUUGGUGGCAUGAUUUUAUUUUUUUGUGAAUGUUAAUAAUAAUACUCUGUAUGUUGAACUGAUCUCAGAUAAAAAGAAUUCACUAUCGUUUGCGCAGUGUCUACACUUGCUAUGAGCGAAUGUAUUAGCUAUGCGACCUUAUGUUUAUGUAACUCAGGCAAACAAUAUAAAUAUGUUCUCUGAAGGUACCUUCCACUUAAAAAGAUUAAAAAUCCUUAUAUUUUAUCUAUGCUAAAACGUGUGCAAACAGCAGAAGAUAUUCUCUGCAGGUACUUUUCCUGCAAUAAAUUAAAAAAAAAUCGGUAGACUUUCGCAACCUCUUAUUUAUCUGAAUUAGUGUAUACAGAAAAAUUUCUUUGUACGUAGGUAUUUUCUUCAAGAAUGUUGUGGAAAAA
Rhagoletis zephyria (snowberry fruit fly) is the source of this 763-nucleotide long non-coding RNA. RefSeq lists it as uncharacterized. NCBI's taxonomy places the organism in Eukaryota, Metazoa, Arthropoda, Insecta, Diptera, Tephritidae. The record is from RefSeq and is a predicted model, not a curated record.